CUACAACAUGGGAUUCAAGCCAGACGAGGAGAAAGAAGGACCCACUCAGCAGCCAUUUUAAUUCAAGGUCGAAGACUAUAUACCCAGGGCCAUGGCUGUGAACCUAUCCACUCUGACUGUUUGUCUGCUAGCCACAGCCAUUCUGCAUGCUUACGGUUCUUCUGCAAGUGAACCAAAUGUGACCAACCCUACCCCUGAUAUGUCAACUUCCAUUCAUACUACUGAAGUGACCAGCUCCCUAUUCACCCAGGACAGCUCCACACCCACCCAGCCCAGCUCCACACCCACCCAGGCCAGCUCCACACCCACCCAGGACAACUCAACACCCACCCAGGCCAGCUCCACACCCACCCAGGACAACUCCACACCCACCCAGGCCAGCUCCACACCCACCCAGGACAACUCCACCCCCACCCAGGCCAGCUCCAAACCCACCCAGGACAACACAACACCCAGCCAGUCUAGUGACGAGACAGGACUGUCAGGUGGUGAGAUAGCCGGUAUCGCUGUUGGCAGCAUCGCUGGGGUGGCAGCUAUUGGUGGGGGGAUCUUUGCUGGUCUGAAAUUUAGUGGAAAGUUGGGCUAAUGGUGUUGCUUGACUGCUAGACUGUAAAGGGCUGGGCUCAAUGAGAACGUGUGGUAAUAUAUGAUAUAUUUUAUUAUAUUGCAUUGCCCUGAGACCAGUCCAAGACUCUAUCUGCUGCAGAACUGUGGAAAAGAACCAGAAACCUCUUGGUUUCCUCCAUCUGUAACCACAGACAAGCAAAACACCAUUAUUAGGGACAUCAAUUGAAAUUGCAUUACUAAGGGCCAAAAUAAGGAAUGUUAAGAUAUCUAAUUCAACUGUCUAAUUCAAAAGUAAUAUAAAAUAAUGUGUGUGCCUUCAAUACACAAUGCGCAUGUUUCACUGGCUGUCAUUUAACGUUCAGUUUAGGAUGAAUGCAUACAUGUAUGGGAGCAUGCAAAAGUAAUUUCUGAAAUAGAUAAUAAGACAAAACUUUUUAAUAGAUCUGUUUUAUAAAUACACAUUAUUUUCAAUAUUUUGGCUCCCUACAUCCACUUUAACAAUGCUUUGAACAUUUUAGGUGAGAACAGAUACUUUUUUGCCAAAUGAAAAUGUCAAGAUGAUAACAAAAGAUCACAUGGGAUUUUGUUAAAAAUAUUUUAUGUUAUGCAGACAGUUCACUUAACAACUACAUACUGUGAUGAAUAUAAUUAUUUUAAAUGUAUUUUAUUUUUUUACAAAGUAAACCUCUAAUUUGAUAAUAAAGUUCAUGACCAGUUG
This is a long non-coding RNA of Esox lucius (northern pike), 1285 nucleotides long. RefSeq annotates it as A-agglutinin anchorage subunit. The transcript has 5 exons. NCBI's taxonomy places the organism in Eukaryota, Metazoa, Chordata, Actinopteri, Esociformes, Esocidae. The record is from RefSeq and is a predicted model, not a curated record.